UCUGAUUAGUCUCUUAGAACUGAUUAAUCUCUUAGAACUUCUCUCAUUGUGUUGUAUACAUUUAUAUCCUUUGUUCUUUGUCCAGUUUUUUAGUUCUGGGGUUGAAGUAUGUCCUCAAAAGACCUUAGGCGAAUCUAUGACAACUUAAUGAAACCUUGAAGUACAUAGUUUGACAGGAUGCACUUGUUGCAAUAAAAGGUGGUUAGGUUCCUCCUCCUGGCCAGCUGCCAACAUUUGAAGAAAUCAAAGAUACAGUAGGCUUCAAUGACUAUUAUAAAGAAGAAGAGCGCUAUAGUGUCAGUUCGGCUGCGACAUCUCAAAAAAGUUAAUAUUGUGCCAGAUCAACAGGUGAAGGCACAGAGCAAAGCACAGAAAAGCCAUAUCAACCUGAUGUUGCAGUGCUCGUUCCAGAUGUUUUUUUUUUAAAAUCUAGUCUUAACUCUUAAUUUGAACUUUUUCAUGGUCAAGCUGGUCUCUGCCGUAAGU
This is a long non-coding RNA of Dioscorea cayenensis subsp. rotundata (Guinea yam), 486 nucleotides long. RefSeq lists it as uncharacterized. The record is from RefSeq and is a predicted model, not a curated record. Lineage: Eukaryota; Viridiplantae; Streptophyta; Magnoliopsida; Dioscoreales; Dioscoreaceae. The transcript is spliced from 3 exons.